AGUGAACGCUGGCGGUAGGCCUAACACAUGCAAGUCGAACGGCAGCACAGUAAGAGCUUGCUCUUACGGGUUGCGAGUGGCGGACGGGUGAGGAAUACAUCGGGAUCUACUUUUUCGUGGGGGAUAACGUAGGUAAACUUACUCUAAUACCGCAUACGACCUACGGGUGAAAGCAGUGGAUCUUCGGACCUUGCGCGAUUGAAUGAGCCGAUGUCGGAUUAGCUAGUUGGCUGGGUAAAGGCCCACCAAGGGGACGAUCGGUAGCUUGUCUGAGAGGAGGGUCGGCCACACGGGAACUGAGACACGGACAAGAGUCCUACGGGAGGGAGCAGACGGGAACAUUGGACAAUGGGCGCAAGUCUGAUACAGCGAUACCGCGUGGGUGAAGAAGGCGUUCGGGUUGUAAAGACCUUUUGUUGGGAAAGAAAAGCAGCAGGCUAAUACCAAGCUGUUCUGACGGUAACCAAAGAAUAAGCACCGGCUAACUUCGUG
This 492-nucleotide ribosomal RNA is filed under the name uncultured bacterium. RNAcentral describes it as "partial 16S ribosomal RNA". It matches the Rfam family "Bacterial small subunit ribosomal RNA", at positions 29 to 507 of the family's 1533-position model. The record is from RNAcentral.